This 520-nucleotide ribosomal RNA is filed under the name uncultured Glomus. Its description in RNAcentral is "SSU rRNA". It matches the Rfam family "Eukaryotic small subunit ribosomal RNA", at positions 572 to 1092 of the family's 1831-position model. The record is from RNAcentral. Lineage: Eukaryota; Fungi; Glomeromycota; Glomeromycetes; Glomerales; Glomeraceae.
AGCCGCGGUAAUUCCAGCUCCAAUAGCGUAUAUUAAAGUUGUUGCAGUUAAAAAGCUCGUAGUUGAAUUUCGAGACCGGUCUACUGGUCGUGCUUUUGUACGUACUGGUUUUAUUGGUUUCUCCUUUCUGACGAACUAUAAUGCCAUUAAUUUGGUGUUAUAGGGAAUCAGGACUGUUACUUUGAAAAAUUAGAGUGUUUAAAGCAGGCUCACGCUUGAAUACAUUAGCAUGGAAUAACGGAAUAGGACGUUUGAUUUUAUUUUAGUUGGUUUCUAGGGAUCGACGUAAUGAUUAAUAGGGAUAGUUGGGGGGCAUUAGUAUUCAAUUGUCAGAGGUGAAAUUCUUGGAUUUAUUGAAGGCUAACUACUGCGAAAGCAUUUGCCAAGGAUGUUUUCAUUAAUCAAGAACGAAAGUUAGGGGAUCGAAGACGAUCAGAUACCGUCGUAGUCUUAACCAUAAACUAUGCCGACUAGGGAUCGGAUGAUGUUAAUUUUUUAAUGACUCAUUCGGCGCCUUACG